This 395-nucleotide ribosomal RNA is filed under the name uncultured bacterium. RNAcentral describes it as "bacterial SSU rRNA". It matches the Rfam family "Bacterial small subunit ribosomal RNA", at positions 505 to 898 of the family's 1533-position model. The record is from RNAcentral.
GUGUCAGCAGCCGCGGUAAUACGUAGGGGGCUAGCGUUGUCCGGAAUCAUUGGGCGUAAAGAGCGCGUAGGCGGCCAGACAAGUCCGGUGUGAAAGUCACAGGCUCAACCUGUGAAUGCCGCUGGAAACUGUCUGGCUAGAGUCCGGAAGGGGCGAGUGGAAUUCCUGGUGUAGCGGUGAAAUGCGCAGAUAUCAGGAGGAACACCUAUGGCGAAGGCAGCUCGCUGGAACGGUACUGACGCUGAGGCGCGAAAGCGUGGGGAGCGAACAGGAUUAGAUACCCUGGUAGUCCACGCCGUAAACGAUGGGCACUAGGUGUGGGAGGUGUCGACUCCUCCUGUGCCGAAGCUAACGCAUUAAGUGCCCCGCCUGGGGAGUACGGCCGCAAGGCUAAA